AGCCAAUGAUGCAUGAAGUGCAGCACCAUGAGGAAGGACAUCUUCGUUAAUUUCAAAUAAGGGUGAGUGAGGAGAUUGAAGCUGUUUACGUGUCUCAUUCUGCAUUCCAAUAAAGAAGAAGUAUCCAGGAAUCACCUCUUGAUAAAAGGCAAAAUCCUCAGAUCCCAUUGAUGGUGGCAUAUCUUUAAUGUUAUCAAUGCCAAGCACACCUCCUGCAACAAUUUUGAAAUACUUGUGCAAUUGUUCAUUGUUCACAGUAGGAGGGUCAUUCUCAAGGAAAUCAAUAGAUGCUUUACACCUCUG
This 303-nucleotide unclassified non-coding RNA is filed under the name Hevea brasiliensis (rubber tree). The record is from RNAcentral. Lineage: Eukaryota; Viridiplantae; Streptophyta; Magnoliopsida; Malpighiales; Euphorbiaceae.